UUGAUACAAUGAUGAUUUCAUAGUUCAACAGAUAACCAUGACGAAGAAACUAUUGUCUUUCGCUCCUAACUGAUGCAUCAA
This is a small nucleolar RNA of Nematolebias whitei (Rio pearlfish), 81 nucleotides long. RefSeq annotates it as small nucleolar RNA snR60/Z15/Z230/Z193/J17. The record is from RefSeq and is a predicted model, not a curated record. The transcript has a single exon. NCBI's taxonomy places the organism in Eukaryota, Metazoa, Chordata, Actinopteri, Cyprinodontiformes, Rivulidae.